CUACAGUACUACAGUACUACACCUGCUACAGUAUUACAGUACUACAGUACUACACCUGCUGCAGUACUACAGUACACUUGUGAAAAACUUUUCAAAAUGACUCCAGUUGUCCAUCAUUACUGUAAAUAAAAACACAGCAUCUUGUUUACAUUCUUUAUUGAAACCACAAUGUCACAAAUCAUUUGCAUCUACCUUUACAAUUACUUUUAGAGUUUGGGAUUUACAAAUGUGUGCUUUUCAUGUCAUUUUCCGUUAGGGCAAAUCGGGUCUGUGAUAUAAUUAUGUCUUUUAUAUAACUAUCAUCCAAAUGUUUAAAGUGAGCGUGGGUGACGGAGAGAAACAAAAUGGUGCUCCUUGGGAUUCAAAAGCAUAAUCAGUGCUCUAACUUCAUUUGAGGUAAUAAUUUAGCUGUUGGAACACCAACUAAUAGAAUUCUGCUUAAGAGGUUGGAGACUGAUAACUUCUAAGAGCUGAAGAAUCUAGAAUCCUUUUCUUCAGAAGGGGUUUCACCAUAUCAGUUUUUAGUGCAGUGGGGAAAGUUCCCAUAAACAGGGAGUGAUUAACAAUAGCUUGCACUUCUUCAGAUAUGCCAUUAAAAACUGUUUUGAAGAAGGUGGUGGGGAUAGGAUGGAGAAGGCAGGUGGAAGGUCAAGUUGUGAUGUCACUUUCCUGACCAUGUCUGUGUCAACCAGGGAAAAUAAAUCCAUAGUGCCUUUGUGUGGUAGGCUAGUGCACAUAUCAUCAGACUUCUCAUCAGGUCUUGACUGAUACCCAGUCUAAUGUUGGAUAUCUUAUCUCUGAAAUAUGCUGUAAACUCAUCACAUUUACAUGUAGAGGAAAGUUCACAUAGGUUUGCGGAGGUAGGAUUUAUCAGGCCAUCAAUGGUGGAGAAGAGCACUCUCUAAUUAUUCUGAUUAUUGGUGAUCAAGUUAGUAAAAUGAGCCCAUCUGGCAUUUCUAAUGGCCUUGUAAUAUAUGAUGCUCUCUCAUUUCUAAUGGCCUUGUAAUAUAUGAUGCUCUCUCAUUUCUAAUGGCCUUGUUAUAUAUGAUGCUCUCUCAUUUCUAAUGGCCUUGUUAUAUAUGAUGCUCUCUCAUUUCUAAUGGCCUUGUUAUAUAUGAUGCUCUCUCAUUUCUAAUGGCCUUGUAAUAUAUGAUGCUCUCUCAUUUCUAAUGGCCUUGUUAUAUAUGAUGCUCUCUCA
RNAcentral lists this long non-coding RNA (1198 nucleotides) under Salmo salar (Atlantic salmon). Its description in RNAcentral is "lncRNA (ENSSSAG00000086838.1)". Lineage: Eukaryota; Metazoa; Chordata; Actinopteri; Salmoniformes; Salmonidae. The record is from RNAcentral.